UUAGCCUAUGCUUUUCAGAUGAAAUUCGGCAGUACAACAAAUGUUAACCUAAUACGUAAAGUAGAACCUAAAGGGAGAAGUCACAAAUCAACUUAUGAACAAAGGCCAAACUAAAAAGAUACUAAUAUUCCAUCCUUAACAGGACGUUAGAGACUUCACUUAAUCCACAUUGCAUCCAGUCCUUGGAACAUAUCAUAUACCAUUACCGAUCUAGCGAGUUUAUUCACAAAAAUUAGUUUAAAUUUUGGAGUUCAGCUUGCAGAGCAAUCUUUUUCAAAUUCGAAUCCACAUGGGGCAAAACCUCAGACGCUCCUACAAGCGACAAUCAUUACCACCUGUCUAUUACCAACCAUUAUGUGAUUUUAUGAUCAAUCAAACGAGAAAUCAAGUUGAAAAUGAAAUCAAUUAAUUACCAGGUCCGAAGAGACUAACGACAGAGGAAGGGAAAGGUUUCGUGUGAACAACAACAAGCUUGAAUGGGGAGUUAGUAGAAGAGAUUGGAACGAGGAGAUGAUCUAAAGUUCACUCAAAAGCGUGGUGGAGCUUCUACUGUCGUAAUGGAGAGUCGUGCGAGGUAGAGUACGUGGAGCUCAGCCAAGCGAUGAUUUGAAAAAAAUUGGAGAAGGAGAAGAAGAAGGUAUCGUGGGUAUGGAGAGAGAAG
Molecule: long non-coding RNA, 661 nt
Filed under: Cucumis sativus (cucumber)
Lineage: Eukaryota; Viridiplantae; Streptophyta; Magnoliopsida; Cucurbitales; Cucurbitaceae
Description: long non-coding RNA (CSAT_LNC001094)
Source: RNAcentral